GUGUGGAGCCUAGGGCUUUGCACAUGCUAGGCAAGUGCCUUACUACAGAGCUACAUCCUCAGACUCCUUUUAUUACUUUGUGCUUAAGAAGUUCUUACCUGAGUUCACUGAGUUGGCUUUUGGGGGGGGGGGGGAUAGGGUCUCACUAUGCAGUUCAGGCUGAUCUUGAACUCACGGUGAUCCUUCUGCUUCAGCCUCCUGAGGGCUGGGAUUACAGGUGUGGGUCACCACGCCCAGUUUUUAUUUUUGUUUCUUGGGAUUGCUGGGGAUCAAGCCCAGGGCCUCAUGAGUGCAAGGCAAGCACUCUUCCAGUGAGGCCCAGCCCAGCCCCAGUGAGUUGGUUUGGCUCUGAGAAAUGCACACUUGAAGGGAGGAGGUCUACCGGCCUCGAGGAGGGCUAGGAUUCCCACAAUUACCCAAGUAGGAUGAAUUCUGCAAUUCAUUUCAAUAUAUUUCUUUUAUGUAUUUCAUGUAACCUCUCAUAUUUGGGGAUAUGGGGAUUAAAACCAGGGAGAACUGAACUAUACCCACAGCCCUUUUUAUUGUUUUAUUUUGAGUCUUGCUAAAUUGCUCAGGCUGGCUUUGAAAUAGGGAUUCUCCUGUGCUAGCCUCCCAAGCAGCUGGGAUUAUAGGCCUUAGCCACUAUGCCAGGCCUCAUGUAACCCCUUCUUCACAAGGGCGAAAUCUUUCGUCUUGCUUUCUUGUUAUGUAGUUCUGGCCUUGAACUCACGAUGUAGUCCAGGCUGGCCUCAAACUGUGGCAAUCCUUCUGCCUCAGCCUCCCCAUUGCUGGGGUUAGAAGCGUGCACCACCACGCCUGGCUUUUUUUCUCUUUUAGCUCGCCCAGCCUCAGUCUGUCUGGAUCACCAUCCAGCACUGGUCCCAAAACACACGUUGCUCAGGGCUCAAGUCUUCGCAGGGCUCACUGCAGCGCCAGGAGCCUUUCCACACCUCCUGCCAACCUGGCCUCACCUGCUUGUCCUCCACUGCACAUUUCCCCUCAGGUCCCCUGGCCGCGCUCCGCCUGCCCAGUUUUCAUAAUCCUCUCAGGCUCCAGCGAGAGAGGCACCGCCCACCGCAGGGCCUGGUCACGUGAGGGAAACACUGCGGGCCCCAGGCUGCGGACGGAGCCUGGAGAGCCCUGUCCUGUUUCCCUCCGCGCUGAAGUCAGGCUGUCAGGAAACCUGGCCCGUCUCCCGCUAAGCGACCUAGACCUCCACCCUCGCAUCACUACAUGCGAAUUAUACCUCUGCAUGAUUUGAGGCAAGCUGUCUGCAGGACUUACUGCAUUAUAGGUUGGAAGACGAGGAGGUGCUGUCAUCGUUCAUUACAUCAGCAAGCGCUCGUGGAGAACCUGCCACACCAACAGACCAGACUGGAUGCUUUGGAUCCAGUCUCUGGCUCAGCUGUCCUGUGAGGGAGCAGCCACAGGGAGACAAACGGCACUUCCUGUGCACUUCGAGCAGCUGGCUAUUUACAAGAGCCCCUGGUCACACAGGUAAUAGCCUUUCCCGUCACCUGGAAGCAUGAAGAAAGGCUUCAGAAAGUGAAUAUAAAAGGGCCGAGUCUUAAGUUCAUGGUCAGGCUUGAGAUAGGGCAACAGGGCAAGGGACGCCCCCAAACCUAGGACCACCAUCAUGACACCCCUCAUCCUGCCCAGGGACAGCCUGCCAGUGGGAGCACAGUUCCUCCUUAAUCAGAAGGAAAGAAACUGAGCAAUCGAGCGAGAGAUUUCCUAGAAAGAAUGCUGGGACCCAAAAUGAUGUCAGGCUUAGACUGAGCACUGCGGACCAUUCGGAGAAGUGCUAUUUUCAGUCUUGCAUAUGAAUCUGGUGCUGUUCAAAGGACCAAUCUUUUCAAUCCUUUCUUUGCAGGUGGGGAUAACCAAUCAAAAAACACUAUUCCAGAUCCUUCAUUUAUAUCUUGCAGGAAUCUGGCCAGGCAUGGUAACACACCCCUGUAAAUCCAGGACUAAGGAGAAGAGACAGGAGAAUUAUUGUAAGCCUGGGCUACAUAGUGAGUUCAAAGCCAGCCUGAACUACAUAGUGAGACCUUGUCUCAAAAAACCAAAAGAAAAAAAAAAAAAGGAAGGUGGGGAGGAAGAAUUGAGAUAUGUAUCAGAUCCCCACAAGGAAUGUAAUAAUUACGUACUGCAAACAUGUAUUAAUAAAAAUAAAAAAUUAAAAGAAUCCAAGAGAGUCUUUCCAUAAAGCAGUUUAAGUUUGGCACCAGGCUGAGUGAUAUAUUUUUUUUUUUUUUGGUACCAGGGGUCGAACUUGGGACCUUGCGCUUGCCAGGCAGGUGGCGGAACCACUGAGCUAAAUCCCUGGCUCGGCUGAGUGAAUUUUUGAUAGGACAAAUGUCCCACUGCGUUAUCUGCGUGAGGGGGAAGUCAGCCUGUGAAUUGUGGAUACAAAAGUCCCUUUUCCCCUUAUCCUCAGCUGGGAGACUUUUCCCUGGCUCACUCUCACCCUGUAGAGUGUACCUCUUUUCUACCUUCAAUAAAUGUACCAUUUUGCUGCCUUU
This is a non-coding RNA of Heterocephalus glaber (naked mole-rat), 2525 nucleotides long. The record is from RefSeq and is a predicted model, not a curated record. Lineage: Eukaryota; Metazoa; Chordata; Mammalia; Rodentia; Bathyergidae.